Long non-coding RNA from Carassius auratus (goldfish), 718 nucleotides. RefSeq lists it as uncharacterized. The record is from RefSeq and is a predicted model, not a curated record. Lineage: Eukaryota; Metazoa; Chordata; Actinopteri; Cypriniformes; Cyprinidae. The transcript is spliced from 4 exons.
GGCUAGGUUUCAGCACUGAAGGUUGACCUCGCAAGCAGGAGAGAGCCCCUUGUACAUAAUCAGGAAUACAAACAAAUCAGAAGUAUGUUUUAGAAUGCAUAUCCGGAGGAAACUUGUCCCUAGACAGCAGCUGUGGUUGCUGCAGAGCUCAGCCAGAUGAGGCGCUCUGGGUCAUGUUGCUACGCUUCAGUAAAAGCUCAAACAGGCUUCACUAUUGAUCACCAGCCUCAGUCAGGACAAAUGGCAACUCAUUGAAAUGGGCAACAGGCUCCGGGCACAGUUGAUAGAAGCAGGACUAGAGGAACCAAUCUGAAGCUCCAGUACGACUAGCCGGGUCAUCCCACUGUCUGUUGUCAUCUGAAGGCACUGAUGAUUCCCUACAGAACGUGUGGUAGAUGCUGGAUCGAGGUUCAAGUUCCUCUGUGUUUUCUUCAAGUUACAGUUAAGACAAAGGUGCUUUUUUCAAGAUCACAAUAAAGAUGCCUUUAGGGACUGUGUGAUACUGUACUGACAUGAAGCCACCACAUUACAUGGGAUUUACAAUUUUAAAACGAGGAUAUAUACCCUCAUCAUUUUGUGCUCUCAGGAAGAGUGGCUACAGCAAACGGAGGACACACAGAUAUUAAUCAGCUUCUUGCUCCACUGGUCAGUGUGGAGGGUAUGAAAGCAUCACUCUGGGAAAAGAAGAAACAAAGUCAUAAUACAUUUGCACCUGCUA